UACGGAGGGUGCAAGCGUUAUCCGGAUUCACUGGGCGUAAAGGGUGCGUAGGCGGUCAGGUAAGUCUGAUGUGAAAUCUCUGGGCUUAACCCAGAAAUGGCAUUGGAUACUAUUUGGCUUGAGAGUUGGAGGGGGGACUGGAAUUCUUGGUGUAGCAGUGAAAUGCGUAGAUAUCAAGAGGAACACCAGUGGCGAAGGCGAGUCCCUGGACAACUUCUGACGCUGAGGCACGAAAGCUAGGGGAGCAAACAGG
Molecule: ribosomal RNA, 253 nt
Filed under: uncultured bacterium
Lineage: Bacteria
Description: partial 16S ribosomal RNA
Rfam family: Bacterial small subunit ribosomal RNA
Source: RNAcentral